This 467-nucleotide ribosomal RNA is filed under the name uncultured bacterium. RNAcentral's name for it is "partial 16S ribosomal RNA". It matches the Rfam family "Bacterial small subunit ribosomal RNA", at positions 28 to 506 of the family's 1533-position model. The record is from RNAcentral.
GACGAACGCUGGCGGCGUGCUUAACACAUGCAAGUCGAACGGAAAGGCCCUGCUUUUGUGGGGUGCUCGAGUGGCGAACGGGUGAGUAACACGUGAGUAACCUGCCCUUGACUUUGGGAUAACUUCAGGAAACUGGGGCUAAUACCGGAUAGGAGCUCCUGCUGCAUGGUGGGGGUUGGAAAGUUUCGGCGGUUGGGGAUGGACUCGCGGCUUAUCAGCUUGUUGGUGGGGUAGUGGCUUACCAAGGCUUUGACGGGUAGCCGGCCUGAGAGGGUGACCGGCCACAUUGGGACUGAGAUACGGCCCAGACUCCUACGGGAGGCAGCAGUGGGGAAUAUUGCACAAUGGGCGGAAGCCUGAUGCAGCAACGCCGCGUGCGGGAUGACGGCCUUCGGGUUGUGAACCGCUUUCGCCUGUGACGAAGCGUGAGUGACGGUAAUGGGUAAAGAAGCACCGGCUAACUACGU